Thamnophis elegans (Western terrestrial garter snake) is the source of this 804-nucleotide long non-coding RNA. RefSeq lists it as uncharacterized. The record is from RefSeq and is a predicted model, not a curated record. NCBI's taxonomy places the organism in Eukaryota, Metazoa, Chordata, Lepidosauria, Squamata, Natricidae. The transcript has 2 exons.
AAGGGCUUGAAGUUGCAAAAUAAUAGUUCUAUAGGGGCAUUUCUCAGGAUGCUGCAUUGUCUACUAAAUGCAACCAUAUGCCUCCCACUGCCAUCACUACCAGUUUGCCUGCUCCAGACCAAACCAGGAGCAACCCAUCUCUGAUCUGAUCCCCAUACAGUGGAUUCAAAGCAUCCCUAACCUUGUCUUAUCCUGCAAGAUAUGGGCCAUGUACCAAUAGCUUUGCCCACCCCCCUUUCUUAUUUUGAAUUUCCUGUCCAAAUGUAAUUGUUUUUUUGGCUUGGAACCCAAAGGUCAGACUGCCCUUUCUUCUGUCCCGGACAACACAUUUUAUGGUGAUACAGUUUUCUUCCAGAUAAAUAAUUGAUGGGCAAUAAAAACACAACCUGCAAAAUUUGCAAUAAUCUUUAUAUCUUGGUCAACUAAGUUCAAAAAACAGAGGUGAAUUUGUGGUAUGGAAUCAUUUCUCAGAUGAAGCCUGUCAGUGAAACAAAAUCUUUAUAAUUUGCAUUAUAUCUUUGGAAAAUACAGCUGAUGUGAAAAUACAAAAUUUAUACAAUGUACUCUGUAUGUAAGGUGUUUGCAAUUCAUAGCACUUAUUUCUUAAUCAAGCUAAUAUUAAUAUUUCAUAGAUGGAAAUAGUUCUUGAAAUCCACUGUAUUUAUUCAUAAACCCUUAUUAAUUUUGUUAAUCAAUGCACUCAUUGGACAAUAGGGGGUUAUAAAAAAUGACUUUAUCCAAGGUAUUCCCUAUCUACAAAAAGUAUAAAAAGAAAAAUCUGUUUUUUGUUAAGUAAAUGUUAAG